Molecule: non-coding RNA, 33 nt
Filed under: unclassified sequences
Description: DUF805b RNA
Rfam family: DUF805b RNA
About the family: Bacteroidetes, Chlorobi (1 example), Proteobacteria. Lineage (Flavobacteria)
Source: RNAcentral
AAGGCGGCAUCCGAAAAGCUGAUAGAGUAGGGA